Molecule: long non-coding RNA, 41310 nt
Filed under: Gossypium barbadense (sea-island cotton)
Lineage: Eukaryota; Viridiplantae; Streptophyta; Magnoliopsida; Malvales; Malvaceae
Description: long non-coding RNA (GBAR_LNC011869)
Rfam family: MIR7486 microRNA precursor family (bases 18432-18516)
Source: RNAcentral
UUGAAUCUUAUAUUCCAACCAAAUGAACAAAACAAUAUAAUCUCAUAUUUUACCUAUAAUCUUACAUUCCCCUAAUCCUAUUACGAAACAUAAUUUAAUAUUCAUUGAACAAAAUGCAAUUAAAUUAUUUCUUUGGAAAUGCACUAUACAUAUAUUAUAUACAACACCAUCAACGAUGACGAUUAAACAAGUAAAUCAAAUAAUACUUUUUGGGGGGCAUUUUACCUAUAAGAAAGCUUAAGGCUUGUAAUGGCCCAUUUUUGCCUGGGCUUACACCAAGACCAAAACCAAAAUAAAACAAAAAAAUAAUAAAAAUCCAAAAUUAAAAGUCCAAUACAAAUAUUUGAGCCAAAAUAAAAUAAACUUAUUUUCUAACCAAAUACUCCAAGACUCUUUAACCCAAUCACAUAAUAUUUGACCCAAAUUCUAAAUCUCCAAAUCCCAAUAAAAUUGGCCUAAAUAAGCCCAAAACCCGAGGCCCAAUACACCCAAAAUUAUUUCAGUAUUUUGUGAAUGACAAGAGUAUUCUGGAACAAGCCAGAAUAGCACCAAAAAUGUGGCCUCACACGAGAGUCUUCACACUCGGCCUCCACGUCUUCAGGUCAUCUCUUCCGUACAGAUGAUUCUGCAAAAAGGAAUACACUAGAAGGAGCCAAUAACAGAUUUCACAGCAGAUGACAGUAGAAAAAUAGGAUUUUUUAGAUUUUAUUUAUUUUGAAAAUAUGGCUAUAAAAGCCAGUGAUGUAAUCCACCAAUUUUUUACGGGCUGUACGCAUACUACACAUUCAUAUCAAAUAUUCAAUCAAGCAAAAAAGUAUUGACAGGUGAUUUUCCAGUUUUUUUGUCUUCCUCUCUUUAUUUCAAGCUGUGAUUUUCGGCUGCAAAGGGGGAUAUGUUUUGGGAAAAAUACAGAGAACAAAGGGCCUUAAAUGGCACCAUUUUGAAACGGCACCGUGUCAGGAAAAUAGGGGGGUCCGCACUUUCGCCCGAUUGGAGACCCGACUUCACCCAUGUGCGCCUAAGAUGGUUUAUUUGCGCAUCAGACCCCUUCUCCUUGCGUCGCAUCAGAAUCUGCUCCCCUUUGCGCUUAAAUUGCUUUAUUUUCUGUUUUUAAAUUGUUCCUCAGAUUUGUACUACUUGGCAUUUUAGUCCCGAUUUCCAUGCAAUGUUUUAAGAUUGGGAAUAAUUUCUAGUAUGGUCCCUGUGAAAUCAAAUGUGUCAUAUAUGAGUCUUUAUUUCAUUUGAUUUGCAAGAUUUGUGUUAUAAUUUUAAAUUAGAUUAUUUAUUUGCCUGUACAUGUUGAACUAAUUUGUUGAUAUGUUUAUUCUUUUUCUUUUUGGUCAUUUAUAUUAUUUGUAAUGUAUAUAUCAAUUGCGUUAUUUGUAUUUUUUGUUAUUUAUUUGUUGUAAUUUGGAGAUGGUUGUACAUUAUUUUAUGUAAUAUUUUAUGUGUUAUUAUAUAUGUAUAUAUUUCAUAAAAAUUAGUUUAUUAACAUUAAAUUAUUAUGCAUAUAUUUAACUAUCUUUUGUCUAUGUGAUAUCUAUGUAUUUGUAUUUUAAAAUAAAAUCAUGUGUUAUAUAUAUUAAUUAAAUUUUAACCAUACAUAUACAAAAAAAAUUAUUGGUAUAUAUAUAAUUUAAAUACGUUUUUAAACAUUAUUAUUUUUAUACAUAUAAUUUCUUUUAGAUUUACUCGCAUGUCUUUCUUAUUUAAAAAUAUCACGAAUUUUGUAUUAUUUAAAUUAUUAUUAAUAAACAUAUAUUUUGUAUUUAUAUUUAAUUUGCAUUUAUUAUUAAAGCUUUGAUAUCUUUAUAGAUUUUAAUAAACUUGUGAUUAAUUGUUUUUUAUUAUGUAUGUAAUUUAUAAUGAAAUUAAGUUAACUUUAUAAUUCAUUUUCUAAUCAAAGGAUAUUUUGACGUAUAAUUCUUUCUAACAUUUUUUUUCCAUAUGUAUAGGGCAUAUUUUAAAUUAUUUUUACUAUAGAAUAUGUUAUUAUUUUCAAAUAAUUUUAUGUAAAUAUUUUUUUAUGUAUAUAUAUCUUCUUUUAAAAUUAUUGAUGUGUAUAAUAUUUAAAAAAAACCCUUUUAAAUCAUGUAAUUUAUUGUACUUCAUAUUUUCCUUAUGUUUUUUGUUACUUAUAUAGUUUAUAUAUUUACUUCAUUUUUCAUACAUUAUUAAUUUUAUUUUUUAUAAUAAUUAUACUCAAUGUUAUUUGUAUAUAAAGGUUUCAUAAAUUGACUUUGUAUAUUAUUUUAUAUCAUGUAUUCUUAUUCCUUCAUAUUUAAUACAUUAUUUAAAUUAUCUUGUGAAUUAUCAAUUUUUGAAUAAAUUUGUGUUUUAAAUAUUUUAUACAUAAUUUGAUUUGAACUUUGAAAUUUAUAAUAACUAUUUCAAUAAAUAUAUAUCCCAAGUUUUAUGCAAAUGUGUCAACUUAUAUAUGUUAUAUAAUUCUUCAUUUUGUUUCAUACAUAUUUUGUACAUCAUUUUAUUUUGUGUUAUGAUUAUGUAUGAUAUUUUAUAUUAAUUAUUCAUUAUCCAUGCUUAAAGAUUUUGUUUUUUUACAAUGAUUGUUAGGUAAGGUUAUUUGUAUUUUGAGUAUAUUGUUUCAUAUGUUUUUUUUCAAUGUAUUAAAUAUUUCAUCAAUUUUAAAAUGAGUAAACAUGUUUUUAAGCGGAUUUCUAAGUUUUUUGUUAUUCAAAAUUUUGAAAUAAGGUAAUAUCUAGUGUUUGGGGAAUUUGGGAGAGUCGUGCUCAAUCGUAAUGGGUAUGACUUUCUCGGAUAACCAAAUAUUUAGAUAACCUCUUUUAUAAUUUUUAAUUUUUCAAAAGUCGAAAAUUGAUCGCAUCUUAAAGGUAUAAGGGAUCAUAUCCAAUCGUACUGGGUAUGAAACCGCAUAUCUUUGAAACAAGAGAUUUUUGAUCACCAAUUUGAGCUAUUCAAACAUUUUUUAUAUACUUCGGAAAAUCUUUUUUAAAAUUUUUCAAGGACAGCUUCAAAUCAAUUUGGUACCAGUUUUUGGGCGUAAUGAGGGUGCUAACCCUUCCUCAUAUGUAACCGACUCCCGAACCCUUUUUUUUAGCCAAACCAAAUUUAUUUUUUCAUUAAAUAAAGCAUUUUAAUAGGUGGUCCAAUCACACCUAAAUCAAAAGAUUGGUGGCGACUCCACACUCGUUUUCAAAAGUCGACCCCCAUUGCUUUCAAAAUAAAAAGGGUUUCGACAGCUUGGCGACUCCACUGGGGAUUGAACAAAGAGAGUCAGGCCAUAAAAUUGAUUGUUUGCUAUCCUUUUAAUUGAAAAUUUGUUUUGAAAAAAUAUAUGAUCCUUUUAAUUGCAUUUGCUUGUGUGAUGGUUGUGUUUCGAGCUUGUUUAAUAAAUAUGGCAUUACAUUGCAUGACCGUUGUGGUUAUACCUAUUAAGUGGAGGUAAGAAACUAUGCUUUCGUGAUGUUUUCACCUUCGUAUAGGCUAGUGGAUUACUUCCGGGAUACAUCCGUACCUAUGAUACCGUGAGAUUUUCAUCUCCGCAUGGUCAUAGGGAAAUCUAUUCCUCUGAACCGAACUCGAUCUAUAUGAGCCUAUAAUGGGUGAGGAUUAAGGAAUCUGCAGGUUCGAGUACCUUACACUAGAACCGAGCUUCAUAUAGUGAACCUUAAGAACUAUCCUUAGGUAGAGCCGCGUUGAACCUUAGUUAUUACCCAUUUGUGUGUUAUGAUUAUUUUUGUUGUUAUACUUGUGUUUUAUUGCGCAUAUUUGAUACUAACUUGUGCUUUGUUUUGACUGUGUUUUGCAUGACAUUGCAUACUAAAGGAGGUGUUGGUUCGUAUUCGAUUGCUAAGUUAGAAAGUUUAACAUGGAGAAUGAAUUUCUUAGUAAAGUUGAGGAUAAUGCGGCCGUCCGUGCAUGGUCCGAGAAGUUAAAAACUGAGAAAGGGGAUAGCCUGACAGAGGGAUAUACAUCAGAGUUGCAGAAUUUUACCCGCAUCAUUGUGACACAGAACGAGCUGCAGGAGUUGAAGGAUAUAUGGACUAGUUGGGAUGAGGGCACUAAACAGUUGAAGGAUAUACCGACUCCCGAACCCCUUUUUUUUUUACCCAAACCAAAUUUAUUUUUUUCAUUAAAUAAAACAUUUUAAUAGGUGGUUCAAUCACACCUAAAUCAAAAGAUUGGCGGCGACUCCACACUCGUUUUCAAAAAUCAACCCCCAUUGCUUUCAAAAUAAAAAGGGUUUCGACAGCUAUAUUUAAUAUGGAAAAUGGAGAGAAUAAGGAUGAAAAACUUUUGGAUCUAAUAGAUAAGUACAAAGUAAGAAAAUAGUUAAUGAAUCUUAAGUCUUAAGCAUUCAACAAACAAACAAAUCAUCUUUAUAAUAAUUCUAUCAAAUUUAACAAUAAGCAGAAGCAAAUUCUUUGACGUGACUUGGAACCCUAUUAAUUUGCAUGAUUCAUUAGCAUACACAUGUGAACAAAAAUUAAAUUUACAACCUUUAAGCCAUUGUACAUGUCAAAUCAGAGAAGUUAGAAAUUUAUUUUUGAUAGGUGAAAAUUAAAUUAUAAAAUUUUAAAGAGUUUAAAGUACCAUGUAUAUGUUUAUUAGUUUAAAAUUUUAAAUGGGUUAAAUUAAAAAAAAAUUUGAGGUGAAAGUACAUUUUUAUUAUUAAAUUAAUUGAAAAUUUUAAAAAUUUUAAAAGGUUAAAUUGAUAAUUUUUCAUUUUAAGAGGAGACGGCACCGUCUGUGUGUCAAACUCUUGCAAUAAAUGCGAAUUUGAAAAUUUGACUUUUAUAGGUAUAUAUAUUCAGUUUAGGUGAUUUUUUAAAAAGAAAAGUUUAAUUAAAGUGUUUAAAAUUUAAUAAAAGUAAUGUGUUGAAAGGAAAUUAAUUUUGUGGAAUGGUAAAUAAACAAUCCUUAACCAAUGUUGCUGGGACAGUGUAAAUAAGCCCUGGUAAUAUUAUUCAUUAAAUUCAUGUACUGAAAAAGUGAUUGAGAUUUAUUUGUAGGAGUUUAGACAUAGACCAAGAACUUGUCGUAACCUAAUAUUAUUUAAUGUUGUCAACUUUACUUUUAUCUUUAAGUCCUAAACCCCAAAACUGUAAAAAUAAAAACAGAAACAUUCAAGUGUAAGCUAUAUAAUUAAGAGUUUUCCUUAAUCAUUAGAACAGUUGUGAAUAAUUCAUAAAUUUUAAGACUAUCAUAAUAUCCUAGUUGAACUGUACAACACUAGUGUUUUUUCCAAACUUGGAUUGAGUAGUAAAGAACAAGUCAUCUGUUUUAGUUCUUACAAACUCAGCUGAGCUGCCAUUAGACAGUGACAAUACAACAUUGUUGAUUCCUUCUUCUGUUAAGACUUACCAACAUCCGAUUGUUUAUUUUGGUAAGUUCAGGUCUUUCACAAUUCAACCUAUCUUGAUUAAAACUACAAAAAUACUAUUUUCUUUAAAUUUAUUUAUGUAAAUAUAUAUAUUUAUUUUAUUUUUAAAAAAUAGUAAAAUUAAUACAAACUUGGGUAAAGAAUUUAAAAUGAUUUUCGACUGAGGUUUAGUCCAUCAACAUUAUUUUUUUUCCUUUAAAAAUAAAUAUUUACAUACAAUAUUUUUAAGGGUAAAUUUUACAAACAACACUCAACUUUGGAGUAGCUAACAAAAGAGUCACUUAGAUUUCAAUUCAGUCUCUCAACUUUUGAAAAAUAACAAAAUAAUCACCAUUUACCAUUUUUCGUUACAAAUGUAACAGAGGUAUAAUUUUCCGUUAAAGACUUCCAUUUUCUAUCCUCCUCCCCCCUCCCUCUUCUCCACCAUCCCUCCUCCUACCCCCACCAAUAAAAAUCAAGUCAUGUAUUGUUCAUGAGUCAAGUCAAAUCAAGUUCGAAACAAUCUUAUGUGUAAUAUUAGUAUCAUGUAUAGUUGUCCAAGUCCAACUUGAUCGGAAAUAAGAAUCUCAAAUUUUACUCCAUCUUGUCCAUAUUUGAAAUGACUAAUCCAAGACCAUCCAGUUCCAUUCAUAUUAUUUCUUUACUUUGGAAAUGUAAUUAUUUUUGUUUAAUAUUUAGUAAUUAUAUAUAUUACUACCCUUAUAUAUUUUUCUUUUAUUAAAUCUUUUUUAUAAUCUUUUAUUUAAUCUAAAUAUACACAACUUAACAUUUUUUAAUAUUUAAAUUAUAAUAUAAUAUAUUUAUUAUUAUAUAAUAUAAAUUGCAUAAUAUAUAAAAUAAAAUAAAGAUAACAUAUUAUAAACUUGAAAAGGAAUGGAGUUUUUAUCGAAUGUUGGAUAUUAGAACUUAAGUCUAAUCUAUAUUUUAAACAAAUCUUUCUUCUUCUUCUUCUUCUUCUUCUUCUUCUUCUUCUUCUUAUUUCACCAAAAUUUACUUUUUAAAUAUAAUAUCUUUACUUAAAUUCUCUCAAAUUUCGAGCAAAGCUUGGGACUUAGAUAAGGCUGUAAAUUAAAAAAGCGUUGAUGAAUAGUUCAUUAAAAGUUCAUUUUUUUUUUCGUUUAUAAAUAAAUGAAGGGAAAUGAUUGUAUUAAACAAGGACGUCAUGCUAUAUGUGUCCAUUUUUCAUAAUUUAAUGUCACAUCAACAUUUUCAUCCUGAACAAGACUAAAUCCAAAUGAAAAUCUUAAAAUUCAAGAUGAAAUUAUUGAUGUGACAUUAAAAUAUUGGAAAUGGAUAGUAUCCCUAUUUCAUACAAUUCUUUCUCUAUAAAUGAAAAUGAACACGAUUUUGAGGCUCAUUUAUUAAAUGAACCGUACACAAAUAAAAUUUGUUAAGUUCAUUUAUGUUUAUAAUCAAGCUCGUUUAUGUUCGUUUAUAGCUCGUUUUUUAUUCCAUUAGCAUAUAUGUUAAUAAAAUUAUUAUGACUUGUAUGUUUUUUUAAUUUAUAAUACAAUUCUUAAUAUUAAUAUUUAACUAUUUUAUAUCUAAAAUAUAAAUAUGUUUAUUUAACUUAAAUAAAUGAAUAUAAAUAAAAAUUUUAAAAUUCUUAAAUAGCACAAAUAAAUUAAAAAAAAACAACAAACAUUAACAAAAAAAAAAAUGAUGGACCGCCCUAGACUUGAAUAAGAACCUGAGUUAUGAAAAUGUGUAUGGUAAGGGCAGUUUAAAUUGAAAACGUCAACGUAAAACUUUCAAUCUGGAAGGUUUGACUUUUAUAAACCAAACUAAAAGUAAUGAUUAUUUAAGCGUCAACACCUCACACUCUAUCCCAUAUAUUAAACCGCAUUCAAUUAGUUGUCGGCUAAGUGGGACCCCCAGUACGUGUCGAUCAUUGACAUGGUUUAUCAGUUCUGCGGAUAAAUUGAUUUUCGUCUUGAUAACAUUUUAAAUAUAUAAAUGUCUUGGGCGUUUGACAGCUGUUCCUUACUUUGCAUACAAAACAAUAUCCAACGGUGGGAAAACAAAACAAAAGAUCAAAUUUACCAUAACAAAAGCAACUACUGAUAAGUUGUCCCUUACCCUGUGGGCUCCAUUUAUUACCUAACAACUCCAAGCAUGUGGCACCUGUCCUAUUUCAGUCAAUACACACUAUAUCUAUAUAUAAUUAACUUUUUCUAUAAUAUUAUACUCUCUUGUGAUACAUUAGUUUAUUAUAAAAUUAAUUUUUAUUUUUUAAUAAUUUUAUUUUUUAUUAAAUUAAUUCUUUAUAACAAUCUAUUCUCUUAAAAUUUAUUUUCACGUCAAAUGAAAAUGAUACAUUUUAAUUAAAUUAUUAUUUCAAUAAAAUAUUUAAAUUUUAUAUAAAAAUAUAUUAAUUAUAUUUUAUUAAAUGGAUAUUAUUUUUAAUAAAUAAAAUUACAUUUAUCAAUUUUAUUAAAGAUGCAAUCUAAAUCUCACUAAUUGAUAUUAUUAUUAUUAUUAAUUAUUAUUUUUUAGUUUAAAUAUUUUAAAAAUUAAUAUAUGAUCUAAAUCUCAAAUGUUAUUAUAGGUGUAUAAUAAUCACAUCUCUAUAACAUAAAAGAUUUUGGCAAACAAAUAGAGUUAUUAUAGAGAGGAUUGAUUGUACUAAUAAAUAAAAUUAAGUUUAGUUUGGUUUGACUUUUUUUAAUAUUUUGAAUUAUUUGUGAUAAUUUGGUUUAUUUUGAUUUUUCAUAUCAAUUUUGAGUUUUAUUUUUUGAACUUUAUUUUGACACAAUGUGUUUUAUUUUAUGAAUUUUAGAUUAUUUGAUAAAUUUUUAGAAUUAUUUUUAUAGAUAUUUCUAAAAUAUAAAAUUUCAAGUAAAGAAAGAGUAAAUCUUAUAUAUAUAUUUAAAAAAUAUAUAUUUUUAUAUAGUAUUUUAAUUUACUUUUAUUAAAUAUAAAUUUACAUAAAAAUAAAAUAAAUUAUAAAUUAAAUAAAAAAUAGAGUUGGAUUAAUUUCAUUUUAAAUUUGUGAAUAAAAAAUUGUUCAAACAACAUGGUUGGAAUCAAUUUUUAAUUUCUUGAUUUUUUUUUUCUCAAACCUACUAGUAAAUACUAGUAUUCUAAUAGCUAAUUAGUUUCAACAUGGUCCGAGUCCGUGUUAGGAAUUUUGUAAAACAAGUCUAUUUCAUUCAAAUUAAUAUACUUAAAAAAUAAAAUAAGUUUUUGAGUCUUACGGAACACUCAAUAGUCUAAAUAAGAAAAUUAUGUACCAUUUUCAUCAGCUUAAACACAUGUAAUAAAAGGUAAAUUUUCUAAGAUUGCUUAAACAAUAGUGCGAUACAAAGGAAAACUGGCAACAUUGACCUCAAUAAAAGAAAGCAUAAAAUCCGAACAUCAAAAUGCACAACAUAGUUGCUACUAAGAUCCCCCAUAUCAAAGUUAAGAAGCAAGCUAAAAUCACUAUCCUUAAUAGUCGGAGCAUUGACACAUCAAAGUCAUUCAACAAAGUCCUGUAAUUAUGCGUGAGAGAAUCAAACAAUUUUUUCUAAAGAGAGCAACAAAAGAUGCAUCCAACCUAAUGAUAAGGUCUGUAAUAUGCAUGAGUUCCUAUUACUCGGUAAUCAUAGCAGUGGCAUGGCAUGUUUUAUAACCUUGUGGGAACCAGCAAUCCAUUUUUGGUUAUGAUCACAAAUUAUAAUCCCAGCACUUGCUAAAGUCAAAAUAGCAAUCACAUAACUAUUACAGUUCAAUUUAAGCCAUUCGGUUUCCAGGGGAGACCAUAUCAUUUGAAUGAAAGUAGGAUGGAUGGCAACCUUAAUCUUAUUAGAUGGUUUUUGAAACGAUAAGGUUGAGUUAGUUAACUAACUUGAAAUAUCAUUAACUGAAUUAAUCGACCCGAAAUACUAUUAAUUGAAUUAACUGAUCCUUUAAAAUUUUUAACCGUUAACCGAACUGAAAUUUUUUCGAUUAAUUCAAUCAGUUAACUAAAUUAACCGAAAAUUAUAUAUUUUUUAUUUUUUGUUAAAAUAAAUAUAAAAAUUAAUUGAAUUACACAAAUUACAAGAAGGAAAAAAUAAAAAAGGGCUCAUCUAACCCAAAAAAUGACAGCAUUUACCAUCUUUUUCCUAGACUCUACUUUUGUGUCUGACACUAAUAAUUCAUAAGCAACUUGAAACAAUUUUCGCAUUGAUUUUACCAAAAAUAAAUAUAUUAAGAAACUCAUUUGUCUCAGCACAUUUUCACCCAAUAUAUAUUAGUAUUAAAUCAUUACAUAAUUAAAAACAUUACAUAAGUCUUAAAAUUUACACAUAAUUAAAAUGUAAGUAUUUUAUAUUCUCUAUUUGUAUCCAUUUCUUCUCUAAAAAAAAUCUCCAUUUGCAUUAUACCUAUAAAAAACAUGUACAAAAAUGUAAGCCAUUUGUAUCUAUAAAAAAAACAUGUACAAAAAAUUAGCAUAUAAUAGAAAUAUACGCAUUUAAAAAAAUUAAAUAAUAUAAAAAAAUGAAUAGAUUGUAAGUUAACAAGAAUAAGAUAGUAAGCAUAUCCUUCAACUCACGAAAGCUCAUGAAUUUAGGGUAGGCUCUGAUGUGUUCCAAUAAAAGUCUAAACAUUGAAUCAAUUAAAUAAGUAGGAGUGAUAUGGUAAAAAAAUUGAAACUAUUAAAAUAAAACAAUAAAUAUACCAUUUUCAAUCAUGUCAAGCUCUUGGAUUUGUUCUUCAAUCUUUUUUAUGUCUUCUUGUGAUGAUGAUUUUCGAAUCCAAUCUUGAGUACACACAAGAGCUUGUACAAUUUUAGGAGUUAAAGAACUCCUAUAUUGAUCAAGCACACGUCCUCUGGUGCUAAAUGCAGACUCUGAAGCAACCGUAGAAACCAGUAUAGCUAACACAUCUCUUGCCAUUUUUGAAAGAGUGGGAAAUCUAGGGCUGUUCACUUUCCAUCACAAUAAAAUAUCAAAAUCUUCAACAAAAUCCUCAUUAGCCUCAGCUAGAUAUUUAUCCAACUCAAAUGUUUUAUCCUCACCACCAAUUUCCAGCUCAUGUUUUUUAUACAAAACUUGCAUUCGUCUUUUAAUUUUUUGUUGUGGUUUACCGAGAGAACAUGUGUUGGCACACUCGAUUGGCUACAAGUACUAUGAAGUGAAGGCUUAUAUUCAUCAAACAAUUCAUACAAAUAUUCCUUCAAUUUUUGCAUCAUUUCAUAAGCUUUUUCAGAACUAGACAUUUCACUAAGUGCAAAUUCAAGAUACUUUAGUUUUUUGUCUAGGAUCUAAAACACAAGCAACAAACAUAAGCAAAUUCAUCUUAUCAAUAUCACCCCAAUACUUACCAUACUUCUCUUUCAUCUUGAUGGCCAUAACAUUGAAAUCAACAUUACCAUUUAAUUAAGCAUCUUGUAAAAUAAUAUCAAUUUUAGAAAGCUUGUCAAAAAAAUUAUUAGACGUGACAUAUGAAGUGUCAGAUAUACGCAAAGUGGCUUUAUAAAAGUGUUCCAAGAAAUCCCUCAAGUUUCUAACAUUAGCCCAAUCAUCCACACUAAGCCAACCUUCUCCCCUUUCAAGUUCAGCCCUAAAGUUUGUAUCUUGCUCUCAAAUCUCUCAAAAGCUCUUUUAAAGUUCUGAGCAGUGUCUAACAUUAAGUAGGUCGAGUUCCACCUAGUACAAACAUCAAGACACAACAUCUUUUUGCACUCUAUCUUUUCCACUACAACACACUCCUUAAACUUUUGUAAUAUUGCUGGAGAUUGUCUCACAUAUCUAAAAGCCCCCUUAACACAUUCAACAGAUUUAUUCAUUUCCUUUAAGCCUUCAACAACAAUAAAAUUCACAAUGUGUGCCAUGCAUCUCAUAUGAAGAUAUUUACCAUUUUGAAUUAAACCCCCUCGAGGGUUAAACUUCUUUCUCAAAUAACCAAUAGCAACAUCAUUUGAACUUGCAUUAUCAAUAGUAACAGUAAACAACUUAUUAAUCCCUCAAUUCAACAAGCAUUUCUCAAUCACCAUUCCAAUGGACUCACCCUUAUCACUAGAAAUUGGACAAAAGUUUAAAUUUUUUUAUUCAAUUUCCAAUUGUUAUCAAUAAAGUGAGGAGUGAUACACAAAUAAUUAACUCUUUGCAAAGAAGUCCAUGUGUCAGUAGUUAAGCAAACUCAAGAACAAGAACUUCUCAAAAGUUGUUUUAUUUUGCCCCUUUCAUCUAAAUACAAUUGAUAAACAUCCUUAGUCAUAGUAGUUCGUGACGGAAUAUGAAACCUAGGACAUGCCACAAACAUAAAUUUCUUAAAGCCUUCACUUUCAACAAACUUGAAAGGUAAUUCAUCAAUCACAAUCAUUUGUGCUAAUCCUUUCUUCUUGAUCAAAUCUCCAAGUUAAAAGAUGCCCUUCCCCCCUUCACUCCAUUUCUAGGUAAAACUAGUUGUCCUUGACUAGUGUCAACGACAUUACUAGGAUUUUUCUUACAUGAACCAAUAUGAUAUUUCAAUGACCUUGUACCUUUUUUUUUUCAUAUCACAACAAAAUUCUUUUUGACAAUAAUUACAUUUAGCCUUACUUGCACCCUCACUAUUCAUAAUCUUAGUGAAGUGAGACUGAACUUCUGACCUUUGAGGAGUGGCUUUUCUUUUCCCAGUAGUCCCCUUUACUUGUUUUGAAGCUCCAACUCUCAAAUUUUCAGAAUCUAUAGAAGUAGGAGGUGUAACACUACCCUCAAUAGAUGUUGGUUCGGUAGACAUUCUGCAAGAAAAAAAAUAAAUCAUGGUGUGGAAUAAUAAACUAAAUUAAUAUCUUUGAUAAUAAGAAAAUUUUGGAAUAAUAAUACCUAAUGAUAAGCAAAAAGUUAAAGAGAAUACUAGAGGAAGGCAGACAAGAAACCAAUUUGUUAAAAAAAUAGUUAAUAGGAUAAUGUAGGCACAAAUAUUUACAGCCUACAUAAAUCUCUUUUUUUUUACAACACAUACAUACACAUCUCAAUGAAUCAGUUAAUCUUAAACUAAAUAAACUAUAGCAAUAAAAAUAAUCAAAUAAAUUACAGUAAUAAAUUACAGUUAAUAGGAUAAUUUUAAAAUGAAGAUUUUUUUUUGUUGAAAAUGUUGAAGAUGAUAAAAAAUGUUUUCAUCUUGCCUUCACUCUGAGCAUUGUAAAAUUUAAAAUUUUCAAUUUCAUAAGUCUAGCUCUGAUUGAUCCAUUACCUUAAGAUGUGUAUACUGUACUUGCAUUUAGGAAAUGCAUAUAGGUUUAAUAUUUUAUUUUAUUUUAUUUUUAUUUAGGUUUAUCCUAUUCUUCGCGUGCUGCUACAAUUUAUUUUCAAUAAAUUACGAAUGGCUAUUUUCAUGGAGCAGCAGAGCUAACCUUUGAAUUUUUUAGGCAUGUCCAAUUGAAAAGAGGGAGCAAUAAUAUUGAAAGAAUCUAUAAGAAAUACCUACAUUUAGGAGAAGGAAGGGAAAAAGUAUCAAUUCGGUAAAGAGAGCUGCUUCGAUGACAACACCAGCGACGAGCCGUAGCUCUAGCCUCCAGCUAUGAUACUUUCUAGUUUCUGCAAAACACACAAAAGAUUUUGAAGGUUUUGGGAGAUUUCAAUUAGGGAUUUGAAACUUGAAAGGUUAGGAUUUUUUUUUCUAUCGUCUGUGGACUGUGUGUGUGAGUGUGUUUAUGUUUUAGUUUUACUAGACUUUUACUUUUACUUUUAGAUUUUUAUUUUUAUUUAUUAAAUUAUUUGUAAUUUUUAUGAUUGAGUUGGGUAAUUAGAUUGGGUAAUUGGGUUGGGUUUGGUUGGGUACUUGGGUUUAUAUAUAUUAGAGUGGGUUUAUGUUGGAUUGAGUUUGGGUAAAUAGUAGGCUAUUUAUAUAUUAUAAUUUUAUUUAUUAAUUUUUUUGGUUAAAUGAAAAAUUCGGUUAAUCAACCGGUUUCAAACUGAAUUAACCGUUAACCAAAAAUUCAAAAAAUUAUUAACCGACCUCCUACCAAAUUAAUUCGGUUAACUGACCGAUAAACCGAAUUUGGUUGGUUAACCAAAAUUUUUCGGUUUUACCCAAAAUUUGCACACCCCUAGUUAAACCUCCCUAUCUCAAGUAAGAAACUCAAUUGGAUAAAAUGAUUGAUGAAAUCACUAAAAAAAAUCCUAUUGAAGUUACCCUUGAUGCUCAACAAUUUGUUGAAUAGUUGUUCUAAAAGAAUGAGGAGAGCUCGCAGUGGGUAAUGAUGAUGAGAAUGUAGGGCAUUAGGUAAUUGUUACCUUAAUUGCUACUGGUCUUACAUUUCAAAGGUGAACAAGGGGUUUAGCCCAUAAAGUUAUCGAAUUUGAAUAUUCAAAAAGAAGGCAGCUCGAACAGGUAAGGAACAUUUUGUUCCGCAGAUUCCAAAAUGAAAAAAGUUUACAGAGAGAAAAAGGCCACUGAACCAAUUGAAGUUGAUGAAAUUUCAGAAGUUGAAGAUAAUGUGCCAUUGGCAGAGUUGGAACUACAAGCAACUAAGCAUAGAUCGAAAGAUUAAGUGCUCCCUCUUUAGCUAAACAAAAAAAAAAUGAAGGAAUAAGAAAAUGAAGGUCAUAGGUGUAACAACCCUCAUCCGACCCGAUCAUCAUGUCUAAGUUGUAGGAUGGUACAUUCGUUACUAGAACAACUACAAAUAAGUACAAAUUCACAAUCAUACUAUGCAACAUAUUCAUUUUCGGGUCUCACACAAGAUUAUUAAAGCUCUUUUGCUAAUCUAAGAUUGAAUUAGGACCAAUUUGUCAAGUUUUUAAAACUUCGGGUCGACAUUGCGACUUCAUAAUUCCCACAUCGCAACUGCGCAACUCAGUGAGUUACGUCGCGAUGUCAAACACCUCCACGUCACAACGCCACUCACUAUUAGCCCAAGUCGUGACAUCGGGAACUCAUGGUCGCGACUUUGCCCUUAUUUUUGGCAACUUAACACAAUUUGGUACCUAUUCACAUGUUUCCAUCCAAGCAUAUUAACACAUACAUCCAAUUUUCAAUUCACCCAUAUCGAAACCUAGCAAAACAUGCCAAAGCAAAGCUUGUAACACAUUGAAUUUGACCAUUUAACAUAACAUACAACCUAAUCACAUCAUUUACUUAUCAGUCGUGCUUAACUUAGAUCAACUCAUGCAUAUCCAUUUAUUUUGAGCAUCAAGGUCCUAUAUGAUCUUGAAUGUACAAAACAACCAUACAUUUAACAUAAGUCUCAAAUAUGACAACCAUUUAUACCAUUUCCAAUCAUACAUCAAAUUAUCACUUCAGUUUGUUAACCUUUCACAUGCCAAGACAUAUAAGUUUAUAUCAUCACCCAUACUAGCAUGUAACAUGAUCCAUGCCAUACAUUUUCUAAGUCAUGAGAAAAUCAUAUUACUCAAUAUUAACUAUGCCACAAUUCCUAUAUAGCCAACUAUCCCAAAAUGACUAUUAUCACACUAAGGUACCCUAUAUAUAUGCCACAAAACUUGGAAACAUUUAACAUAAAUUCUACCAUCUUUUGAUCGUGUGUGUGCUUUGCAUUGAUUCAGCUCAGCAAGUUCAGCAAGGUUGCAAUCUUCAAGGGAAAUAAACAACUAGAAAACCUUGAUCUUAUUUAAGCAUAAAAAAAAACCCUUAGUUUGGCAUAUUGUUGGCUAGAUCAUGCCACUCAAACCAGGGAUAUAGUAUUAUCCAUGAUCAUUAGACACUACAUGAAAACUAGGCAUACCAAUUUACAUAACUUUCAUAUACUUACCACAAUGACAUAUUCAAUUAACAAAUCACAAAAUCAUACUAAGUUCACACGAUUCAAUAUAAUUACCCUUCUUCCAUUAUCAAUCAAUAAAAUGCAUCAAUUACAAUUAAAUCCAUUAAAUGACAUUUCAAUUUGAUUACCAAGUCUAUUUCAUCAUAUUUUCAAAUUUGAUGUUGCAAUGUCGUAAUACGAUGUGUUGAUAUUGUAACAUAGUGAGCAGAGAGCACUUAAAAUGAGCAAACUACCUUCAAUAUCGUGAUAUAGACAGAGUGUGUCAUGACACAACUCUACAAUCCAACCUGAGCUUGUAAACUGCCAUCAGUUUUGCGACACCGAUGUGACGAGGUGAAAUAAUGAGCCAAGGGCAUUUUGGGCCACACAAAAAACUUUAAUGCAAAAACAUUAUUUGAAUUAGGUCAAUGGACAAUGACCAACCCUAAGCCUAUAAAUAGACAACUCUAAACACUUCAUAAACUAUUUUUAUUCAAGUUUUAGUUUACGACUUCAUUUAGUUUUACUUUUCAGUUCUCUUUAGUUUAUUUUGCACUUAGGUUUAUUUUCAGUUGUAAUUCUAUUUUAGUUUUUAUUUCCAUUCGUUGUGGAACUUGAUUUGUGGAUUGUUGUUCACACAAUUAUCAAUAUAUAUCAGGAUUAUUCUUAAACUCUAUUUUUGAUUUAUUAUUUAUGUUCAUCUUUUCAAUCAAGUUUAUGAUGUUUAUUAGAUCCAUUAGGAACUAAUCCUUUUAUGGGAGAUUAACGAGUGGAUGUUAGAGUAAUUAACUUCUAUGUAGGGUUUCUUAGAGGAUCAACUAGUUGGGAUAAGAAGAACAUAAAAUCCUAGGCUUGACAAACUUAGCUUUUCCCAUAUUAGCUCUACUUUAAUCCAGAUCUUGAUCUAUACAAUUAUUUUAUAUAACCAAUAAAUAUCAAACAUUUUCAUACUAUGUCAUGAUAUAUAUGAUCCUAUAAAAUUUUAUUUUUUGAUUCUCCUCAUAUUUUAUAAUUUAUUCAAUUUACUCCCUAAACUUGAAAACUUGGGAUAAGCAUAAUUUUUUUAUUCCUAGCUUGAAUUAAAAUCCAAUUUUAUAUAUUUCUAACAUUUAUUCAAUUUGGUCCCUACUGUAACAAAUAAGCUAAAUUAACUUUACAAUCUAGUCCUUUUUAUAUUCUAAGCAUAAAAUCUAUCAUUUUCAAGCUUAAUUCUUCAAGAAAUCAUCAAUGAUGAUUUUCUAAAACUUUAAGAGUUUCACAAAUUUGUACACGGGUUAGCCAAAUCAAGCUCCCCAUGACUCCAAAUCCAUAAAACUUACAAGAAAAAGACUUGAAUUUGCUUACCAAAUGAUGGUCGAAUGUUUUAGAAAAUUCCUUUGAUUUUUUCCUUCCAUGGAUGACAAGAAGAAAGCAAAUGAAGAAGAUUGCAUAUUUUUCCACUAUUUUAUGCUUUUAUACCUUGAUUAAACCUUAAUGAACAUUAAUUGAUUAACUUAAUCUUUAAUUAGUUUACUUUAAUUAUCAUUAACUCUAUUAGUGGAAAACAACAUCAUCAUCCACUAUAUUAUGAUAUAAAAUAGUUUAUUUACCAUAAUUUUCCUUUGGUUAAUUGCUAUUUAGGUCCCUAAACUUUUGACCAAUUAAAAAUCUAUCGCGAUUUGACUUUUACAAUUUAGUCCCUAGACCUUAAUUAACUAUUAAUUCGACAAAAUUACAUGACCAAUCCUUAGUAUAUUUUUAUAUUAGUUUUAUAAAUAUUCAUAUUUAAUAUUUACAGAAAUGGGGUUUUGAAAUCGCAUUUUUUACUACCACUAAAUUUUAGGUUGUUAUAGUAAGAGUUAUUAAAAACUUAAGAGAGGCUAUUAAAGUUGCAAGACCUGAACCAAAACAAAAGAAUUUUAAGUUAUUUAUUCCUACUUGUGCUAAAAGGAUGAAGGUCAUGGAAGAAAAAGGUUUCAUAGUCAAGUGAAAUAUCCACCAAAGUGGCUUCUAUGAGAAUGGUUUUGAUGUCUUUCUUGAACAAAAUGAAUUAUUUCUCUUUGUUUCCUAUGUCAAGUCUUUUGUAAAUAAUUUGAUAUUAGAUUAUAUGUCAACCUUUUGAAAUUGAUAAAAGAUUAAAACAAUGAACAUUACAUGCAUGCAUAUGUUAAGAGACUUUUUUCACAAGUAGUCUUGUAGUAAUCAACAAUUUUCUUUAUUGCCAUGGUGUGGAUGAUGGAGACUUCACUGUUGAAGAUGAUUUUCUUACUUUCUAACUCAUUAACAAAGUUCGAUACACCUGGCCUGAAGGGCACUAUUUUAAGACUUCUAAUCUUAAGACCAGGUAGUAGCCUUGUAGGCCAUUAUUACUAGAAACAGACUUCCUAACAAGUAAAGCAUGGUGCUUAACAAAAGGAUAACAGUGUCAUUAUAAAAGAUAGUUUCAUUCUUUCUUUUUGAUCAUGGUUAAAUAAUUUUUAAUAAAAUCGUUAAGCAUGUAGAGACCAAGAAUCCCAGGCAUGCAUUACCUUCCCCUUUACUCAUCUACCAAAUUUUGCUUAAGUAAAAGAAGGAUAAUAAUUGAAUAAUGAAGUUACUAAGCCUGAAGUACCAAAAUUGAAGUAUUCUUAUAAGUGGAAAAAGCGUAAACAUUUUAUUACUAAUACAGAUUCAAGAGUUGAGUCUAAUAAUGACAAAGAUCCUGAACUAGUUGUUGCCCAGUUGCAAUUGGAUCAACAUCUGAUUGGCAGCCUAGUGCUGAUAAAGUUAGAAUUUUAGAGCAUCUUGACGAGGACAUAACAUAUAUCAGCGAACACUUAUAACACUUGGAGAACCAAAUUAAGCUCCUAAACAAAUAGAAGACUCGUGUUCUUUGUUAUACUAUUGAUUUAUUUGCUUGAGACCUUUGAUGCCUUUGCAUUUUUUUAGCCAAAAAGGUAGAAGAAUGAGUAGAGUGAGGGAGUUAGGGGAGAAUGAAUUAUGAUUCUUUUAGGUGAUAUUUUUGGUUGGUGAUUUGAUACUUAUACCCAAAGGUGAAUCUAAAGGGGGCAAACAGGGGCCUUGGUCCCCUCCCAAAAUGAUUUUUUUUCAAUCUAGUCUUCUUAUAAAUAGAGAAAUUAUAAAUUAGUAUAUAGUGAAAUUGUGCUUUGGCCUCCCUAAAAUGAAUAUUUUUGAUUCAAUCAUUUUAUGAAUAAAUAAAUUAUAAAUUAAUAUAUAGUAAAAUUUCACUUUAGCCCCCAUAAAAAUGAAAUAAAUUAUGUAUAGUUCUUUGAAAAUUUAUGAAAUUAUAAGUUAAUACAUAAUAAACUGGGCAUUUUACAAGGAAAAUCCCUUUUUUUUUCUAAAAUUACGGAAAUAGGCUGACUUUUUAAUUAUUUACCAGAUCAGGCUGUUUUCCCCGAAAUCGCGUCCAGGUCAGCAAAACGCUCCCCCAGGGAAGCGUUUUGUCUACGUCAGCAGAAAUCGCGUCCUUGAGGGUGCGCUUUGCUGACAUGGACAAAACGCUUCCCCGGGGAAACGUUUUUUCCCUUUUUUCCAUUAGUUAUUUUAGGGUUUAUGGUUAGUGGUUUAGGAUUUUGGGGUUAAUUCAUAAAAUUAACUAUUAAUUUUAAAUACUAAAUGCUAAAUUAGAGUUUAGGGUUUAUGGUUAGUUAAUUAAAUUAGGGUUUUUCGAUUAAAUGAGCAUUAAUUGAUUAAUUUAGGGUUAAUUGAUACAUAAUGGUUUACACAUACUAUUUUAAUAUUAGAAAAAUAAUUCGAUUACUUCAGCGUUUCGAUUAAUCAUUUGAUUAAAUGAGCGUUAGUUGAUUAAUUUAGGGUUAAUUUAGGUUAAUUAAGUAGACGUUUCUGAACAAAUAGUGUCAAAAACGCUUCAAGCAGGAUGCACUGUCAGCAAAAUUUUGGAAAAAAGCUCCCACGUGGACGCGCUUUUGCUAUAAUAGUUCAUAGAAAAAUAAUUCUGAGUAGACGUUUCUAAAUAAAUAGUGUUAAAAACGCUUCAAGCAAGAUGCAUUGUAAGCAAAAUUUCAGAAAAAAGCUCCCACGUGGACGCGCUUUUGCUACAGUAGUUCGUAGAAAAAUAAUUCUGAGUAGACGUUUCUGAACAAAUAGUUUCAAAAAUGCUUCAAGCAGGAUGCACUGUCAGUAAAAUUUCGGAAAAAAGCUCCUACGUGGACGUGUUUUUCCUAUAGUAGUUCGUAGAAAAAUAAUUUUGAGUAGACGUUUCUGAACAAAUAGUGUCAAAAACGCUUCAAGCAGGAUGCAAUGUCAGAAAAUUUUAGAAAAAAGCUUCCACGUGGACGCGCUUUUGCUACAGUAGUUUGUAGAAAAACUGAGGCUAUAAAUGAGCCAAAUUUUAUUCUCAGGUUGCAUAACUUACAGUAAAAAAAAAUUUGAGAGACAAAGAAGAAUAGAAAUCUAAGAUGAGUGAACGUAUUAGUGCUGUUAUUUACUAUGAUGGUGAGGUCUGUAACACCGAGAACGGCAUUGUUUUUUUAUCGGAGAACACACGAGACUGGUUUUUAACCAGAACAUAGAUUUGAUAGAACUUCGUAAAAGAAUUAGGCGUAAAAUCUUUGGAACGACGCCAAUGAAAGUUUUGUGUAUUAAGUAUCGAUUUUGUGCUUCUAUUGAUCCAGUGACAUAUAACUCAUUCGACAUCAAAGGUGCUCGAAACUUGGAGGCAAUGGUGCAGACUCAUCUCGAUAGUGGAUCACCUUAUCUUGAGUUAUAUGAUCAAUUUUCAUCACCAAAUGAUGCAUUUGAAACUUUAACAUUUACUACUGGUGGAGAGGAAUACAUGACCCCUGCCCGGUACUCCGUUAGUAGGUGACAAAACACAGAAGCGUCCGUAUUUGGUAGCAGUAUGCAACACCCGACCCCUGUACGACACUCCGUUAGUGGAUGGGACAUACACCUCAGUGGGUCGAUGUUUGAUGCUGGAAAUACGUACUGGGGAAUGACAUAAACUUUAAGUGGUUGGCAAUCCACAUCUGAUUGGAAACGUUGUGAAAUGUCCACAAUGAGGGAUGAUGUGCUCCCCACGACGUCUACCGGUGAGGGGACCUCGUACGUUGCACAUGAUGAUCGGUCAGAUGAUGAGUCCGAUGUGGAUCCACCUCGAGAGGUUGGCCCCCAUGGUGCAGAAAUUGUAUUAUUUUCUGAACCGGAGACUGUUCCAACCAUACCUGAAGAUGUCGAAGGGGGUUCAAAUGAUGAAGAAGAAGAUGCACAAUUCAAGGCGUAAUCGCCUCCAGCCCACAUGCAUAAUGUUGAUUUAUCUCAAGAUGAUACGUUGGAGUUUCCAGAUCUACCACAUAGAAGGCGUGAUCGUACAAGUUCCUCAUUGGAUUCGGGUGAAUUGGAAGUUGGUAAAGAGUUUUCAAAUAAAGAUAGUUUUCUUGGUACAUUAAAACAACAUAGCAUCACGAACGGGGUUAACUACAAUGUGAUCAAGUCUAAACCUGAUAAGUUUAAGGCAGCACAUGUAUGUGGACCUUUGUACUUUUUUAUCUCCCAUAAGCCUGUCCUUUUCCUCAAUGAAGCCAUGAUUUUUCAUGAACAUGUACCAUCUAUUGUGUACUAAUAUUUUUAACCUACUUUGUUGACAGGUGUUUUGGAAGAUCAUCCCAAGAUGAAUUCAGAAAUGAAAGCUACCUUAAUACUACCGACAGUGAAGGCGGAUCCUAGAACUACAGUGCCUAUCAUAAUUGCCAAUAUUCGUAGCCAAUUGAGGUACACACCCUCUUACCGCAAGGCUUGGGUAGCUAAGCAGAAGGUGUUAGAAAAGAUAUAUGGUGGGUAGGACGCUUCAUAUAACGAACUUUGGCAGUGGUGUCAGGUGCUGGAGAGAUAUGUCCCAAGUUGCAUAACAGACCUUCAAACCGAACCUGCGUACUACAACGACCGAUUGCUCCAUGGAUGCGAAGUGUUUAAGCGUCUAUUUUGGAGCUUUAAGCAAUGCUGAGAUGCAUUUCUAUAUUGUAAGCCGUUGGUACAAAUUAGCGGUACCUUUAUGUACGGUAGAUAUACCCAUCGGCUAUUGCUAGCUGUGGCACAAGAUGACAGUGGGAGAAUCCUUCCAAUUGCGUUUGCAAUAACAUCAGAGGAGUCAGAUGAUGACUGUGAUUUCUUUCUUUCUAGGCUAAGGAGGCAUGUUUGUGCCCAACCUAAUAUCUGUGUCAUAUCAGAUCGGGGCACUGUAAUACUAGCCGUAAUUGUGCGACAGGAAAGAAUGUGGCAUCACACACACCAUCGGUAUUGCCUAAGGCACUUUGCGUCCAACUACCACAGGCAAUUUCAUUCUACAACUGGAAAACGACAAGUAACCAACAUGGGUAUGUAAUAUCUAUUAAUAUAAUUUUGUUUGUAAUACUAAAUUUAUUUUAACUGGAAAUGUGGUAUGUAAUUUUCGCUAUCAACUUAUAUUGGUAGGGUAUGAGAUAAGUAAGGAUCAUUUCCAUGAAAUGUUGGCGAUUCUGCGUUCGUAUAACGAAUAAGGAGCAAACUACCUUUGUAAUAUACCUUUCAAACAGUGGACACAAGAAUACGAGGUGGCCUACGAUAUGGUCAUAUGACCUCAAACCUGGCCUAAUGUAUAAAUUCUGUUCUAAAAGGAACACGCCAUUUACCAAUAACAUCAAUUGUUCGAGAGACAUAUUCUCGUUUAACGGCACUAUUCCCGAAACGAGCAGCAAGUUAUACAGGCCAAAUCCAAGGAGGACAUGUAUAGUGCGCAAAGGUAUUGCAAGAAAUUAACAAGGUGAAGGCGCAGACGAACACCAUGCACACAGUGUGUCACGAUCGAGACAAUCUAUGGUUUCGUGUGACGGAGUUUGACAGACCGCAGGAAGGUAUUAUUGGCGGGCAAUAUCGUGUACACUUGAGAAAUAGAACUUGCGAUCGUGGGAGGUUUGACGCACUUCGUUAUCCAUGCAGUCAUGUAAUUGCAGCUUGUCAAAAUCUGCGUAUAGAUCCUAUGAGAUACAUCAACGAAGUGUACAGAAUACAAACCAUGUACAAUGUGUGGAGACAUGUAUUUCUACCUUUCCCAGAUGAACGUAAGUGGCCGCCUGUAUCGCUUGCUUCGUUUAAGCUGUUACUGGAUAGAGAAUUGCGUCGCAAACCAAAGGGUCGACCUUGCUUGACUAGAAUACGUACCGAUAUGGAUAUUCGAGAAACAACCAAUCAACAGAAAUUAUGCGGAUACUGUAGGAACCGAGGACAUACAAGUAUAUCUUGUCAUAAUCGAAAUAGUUGAUAGUUGUCAUAAAAAAUUAUGUUGUAUUAUUUAUAUUUUAUUAAAUGAAAUGUAUCAAACUUUUACUUUUAUUUUACAGGGUUGCCCUUAAAGUUUUACUUUUACUCAAUUUAGUCUUUUAUUGGAAUAUUUCAAACUUUUAUUCUAUCAAACGAAACAAUACCUUCUAUUUUAAUAAAAAUAUAGUAAUUUAUUUUAUUUUACGUAAUAACUAUGUCGAUCAAAUACAAGUAAGACAUCGAGACAUGACUGAGACGUAAUUAAUUAGCUCAAAGAUUACCCUCAAUUUUUGUUGGAAUACAUGUAUUGAUGGAUUAUAGUUAUUAGUUAUAUAUUUAGAUUUUUUUAUGAAUAUUUUAUAAUAUUUAUGAUUUUUUUUUAAAUUUUGAAAAAAAAUUAUUUUAUUAAUUUUGUAUAAUUAUAUAUAUAUAUAUUAAUUAUCUAUAAGAAUGACGGAAUUCAUCAAAUUGAUAAAUAUGUAAACCUUCAAAGUUAGCAUUUAUGAAUGAUAAAAAAAAUUAUCAUCCUCAUUUUCUUCACAAAUAUGAUGUUUAUCAUUCAAUCGAGUAUUUUUGUUUGAUUUUAUUGAGAUAAAAAAAUAGAGUUAAUGUAGGGUUGGUGAGAGUGGUCAAAUGAGGUAAAUAUAGAAAUAGUUUUUUAAGACAUAUAUAAUCAAAUAAAGAAAAUAUAAAUAUAAAUAAAAAUUAAACAAUAUAAAAAGUUUGUACAAUUGGGUUUUUAAGACAUACAAUUUACAAUUGCCUUAUUCAAAAGAAAUUUUAUUUUAUUCAAAUUAAACAAUACAAAAAGUUUGUACACAUAUAUUAAAAAAAUUCAAUGUCCGUGGCGGUCAGAAUCAGUGUCACACGGGGGUCGUCGACGGGUCCAUGCUGGAUUCCUCCUUGGUUCAGCUUCCGGCUGCGGUUGUGGUUCAUCCGGCAGGGGAUCUGGUUGUGGAUGUUGAGAGCUUGACCCACCUUGAUAGAAUAAUGACUGCGGUGGUGUUUGCAUUUCCCAUGGAGGAGGUGUUUGAACCCCGUAAGGUGAUGGGGAUUGGUAGAAAGAAGAGCCCCCCGAUGGUGUCUCCUGCGAUCCCUCAUGCGAUGAUGGCCUAUAGAUUGGUGGUUAACUCGGAGUAAUCAGGAACAGAGAUGAACCGGGCCAUGGAUUCUAACUUACCAUAAGACUAGGAAAAGGAAACAUAAAAGGGUUAGGAUAUAUAUAAGGGAUAGGAUACGUACCUGGCAUAGGACUAGGAAAAGGCUGUAAUGUGGGUGUCGUCUGUUGAACUGUUGGGCCCGGUGAUUGUGGCAGCGCUAUUGAUGGGCUUGCUGAUUGUAUGGGCGCUGUUGAUGGGCCUGCUGAUUGUGGGGGUGCUGUUGAUGGGCUUGCGUCGUCGCCCCUUUUUCUUGGAUUUAAAGGGCCCCGUCGUUCCCUUUGAACACGAAUUUGUCGUUGCCUCUCCUCUUCCGACAAUAAAUAUGGCUUGCCAUAGAUCCUAAACCAUGGCAUGUAUUCUGGUACGCAUGCUAACUCUGGAACGAUAAUCGGUUCCCGAGUAGGUAUAUAAUCAUACCGAUUUUCCCACAUUUCGAUAUAGCCUGACCAGUAUCUCGGCCAAUCCAUAUUCAAUAGCCGUAAGUCGACUUUAUGCUCUUCAUCAAACACCUCAGGUGCUACGAGAAUCGGUUGUCGAAAUCCAAAUUGUCGCAAUACUCUGUCUGAUUGGUGCAUCUCGACCGUAGCAUAGUUCACCAAUGGGACCUUCACAUGCCAAGCGUUCAGAUUUUGAACAUAUUCAUCCGGAAUUACUGCCCGAAUUGCCGGAUCAUCGUAUGGUGUCCAUUCAAACUAUAUGAACAUGAUAAAAAUAUUACUUAUAUACAUAAUACUAACUACUAAAUACUAAAUAUGAAACAACUAUUUUAUUAAUUAUAUAUAAUUUAUUUAAUACUUACUUGUGUAUCCGAUCGUUGGUCUAAUAGAAGCCGUAUAUCUUCGAGAGAGUUGGGUAUUCCGACAUAACUCGCCGAACGGUUCCACCUAAUUAAAUAAUUUUUUAGCAUACAACAAUUAUAUACUAAACUACGUAAUAAUGGUAAAAUAUAAUAUAAAAUUUAUCUCGUUAUUAGUGGAAAUGUAUAUGGAUAGUCCACUCGAGGACGUAAAAAUGGAAAGUGAAACCGUGCCCAUGAUUGCAGUAGUGAUAGACAACCUCCUAUUUUGACUUUGUUUGGCAGCGUCGCACCGUACAUUUCCUUGUACAACUUUGCCAACACGGCAGACCCCCAACUCAAUUCGCCGGCUGUUCUAAAAUUUACGAGUUUCAACAGCCAUCUCAGAUGUACAAGGUUUCGUGACAAGUCCGACAUCAGAUAACCUCCAAUAAUCUCGAGAAUAUAUGCCCGAGUAUAUUGUAUUCUUUCGAGUUCUGUCGAAUCAUUAUCUGGCUCCGGGAAUGUGUCUCGUAACCAACCCAUCUGGAUCCGACCUCCGUUAAUAUAAUCCGGUAUAGCACCCAAAAGCUCAUAGCAUACGGCGCUCCAAUCACUAGAUGAUGCAGAUCCGGUGACUGCGUACCCAUCCACCGGCAAUCCCAAUUGCAAAUGCACGUCUUGCAGAGUGAUAGUACAUUCUCCGCAUGGAAGAUGAAAAGUAUGCGUCUCGGGUCUCCACCUCUCUAUCAACGCACUGAUUAGUUUCGGGUCUAACUUGCACCCCCGACCUAUCGUGGCCACAUGCCAGAAUCCCGCUUCCCGCAAGCAAUUCUCAAUCAAGGGCGAUGGAGGAUUAGGCAUAUUACGAAUGUAACAUUCUAACACCCGAUCUACAGACUAUUAUAAAAAAUUAUAAAACAAAAAUUAAUUAAAAUUGCAUAAAUUAAUUAAUGCAAACAUCAUAACUGAAAAUUAAAUUAAAAAAAUUUAAAUUUGCAUAAAUGAAAAUUAAAUUUGCAUAAAUAAAUUAAAGUAUCACUUAACAUUUUCAUUUGCUCAACGGAGGUGUGCUUAUUAUCAAGACGGAUUAGUUCUCUGGCCAUUGCUAGCACGAUGGUAUUUUUUUAAUUUUAAAAAAUUAAAUUCAAAAAAAUUUUAAACAGAGAAAUUUCGUAAAAUUUUGAUGGAAUUUAAGAAAUUUUCACUAAAAAUUGAUAGAUUUUUUAAGGGAAUACUGAAAGAAAAUCGAGAUUAAACAAAGAAUUGUGUGAAAAAUAAAGGAGGGGAUUGAAAUUUUGAGAGAAUUAGAGAAUUUGAGAGUGAUUUGUGUGAAAAAAUGAAUUAGAGGGGCCAUUUUAUAGUUUUUUUUUCUGACCGUUGAACGGGCAAAAACGCUCCCCCGAGGAAUCGUUUUGUCCACGUCAGCAAAGCGCGCCCUCAAGGACGCGAUUUCUGCUUACGUGGACAAAACGCUUCCCUGGGAGAGCGUUUUGCUGACGUGGACAAUAAAAUCACGCUGACGUGAACGCGAUUUCGAAGAAAAAGGCCUAGUCCGGUAAAUAAUUAAAAAGUCGGCCUAUUUCCAUAAUUUUAGAAAAAAAAAGGAAUUUUCCUUGUAAAAUGCCCUAAUAAACUUAUAUUUUGAUCUAUGAAAAAAAUUAGAAUUAAAUUUUGGCCCCUACUAAUUUCCUCUGCUUAUACCUUUUGUUUAUGUUGGGUUUUGUUAGCAUGUACUUAAGCUAUUCUAACUUUUGCUAUGUUACUGUCUAAACUUGAUGUUAUUCGUACUGAAAGAUAUUAAGAUAAAAUCCUUCCAAUAUUAAUUUUAUUCGAAAAAAUCUAAUUUUUUAAUCAGUUACUCUUACUGACUUCAAUAUAUAAUAUAAAAUUCGACUUCAUGAAGCCAACUCAUAAACAUAUUUAAUAAAGUAAAAAGAUGUGACCAUUAACUUGAAUUAAAGAAAAGCUAGCACAUCAAUGCCAUCAUCUUCUCUUUUCCUAUGAACUCAAAUGUCCUUCAAUGCUGUUGUUUACAAGUACUCUUCCUUAAAUGAAAUCCCACGUUGCUUCAUCAGCUACCAUACAAGUGUCAUUUAGGGCCAUGUCAAUGGGUGAAAUGGAUGCAAUUUGGUGCCCACAAUGCCAUGUGGGCUGACUUUAUACUUGACAGUUGGUAUAAUGCCAUUUUAUUACAAUUUAAUUUAGGGAUAAUGAUUUUCUUUCAUCUAAUUAUAAAAAAAUUAUUUUAGUUUUCCAUUUAAACUUUCACAUUUUUGAGUUUUUAAAUUCGUAUUUUUUUAUCACAUUACCUUGAAAUGAAUAAAAAAGUUAAUAUUGUUUAAUUUUAUUGAUGUUGCAUAUAUGUGGAUCGUUAUAUGAAUGACAUGUCAAAAAUUAAUUAAUUUUUUAAAAUGCAAAAAAAUUAUAAAAUUAUUUUUAAAAAUUAAAAAUCUUUAAAAUUAUUAAAUAAAUUUAAAAAUUUUAAAAAUAUUUUUUUAAUAUUUUAAUAUUUAAAAAAUUAAUUAAAUACUUAGAUGUUAUCUACAUGGAAAUCCACCACGUUAGUAAAAUUAACAAACGUAAACUUUUCUAUCCAUUUUAAGGAGAGUUGAUAAAGUUUAAAAGCUAAAAGAGAUGAAAAAUUAAAUAAGGAUUAAAAUAAAUUUUUAUCAAAUUGGAGAACCAAAAAAAUUAUUAUGCGACAACUUAACCUUUAUAUAUUUAUUUUGCUUAUGGUGUAUAAACUAAUUAAAAAAUAUCAUGGUAAAAGUGAUAUGAUAAAUUCAAAAUUAAUGAAUUUUCUAAUAAAUUAAUAUUACAAUAAUUAAUUACAACUCAAUGGAUUUAAGGAGUAAUUGAGAAAGCAACUCCUGCUUACAAACAUUUGUUAACAGAAAGAAAUAUGUAAGACAGACCAAAGUGCAUGUAAAAACCAAACAAAUGAAUGAGUCAAGAAUGUAUGUUUGUUGGUUGUUCACACACACAUUUCCAAAGGGGGUUUGAUGUUCAUUUAUUUGCCUUUUGUUUGUUAGUUAUUAUUUUCGUGCUGGAAAUUCAUCUAAUCAUGUUAUUUUGAUGUCUCAGCAUACCCAAUUUAAGACCAUGGCCAUGCUAUAAUUUCAAUAGCUAAACAAUUUUUAAGAGAGUAGUCGCAAAUUUACUAUUUUGAUGUAUUGUUGGUUUGGGUAUCGAAUUGAUUUAAUUAAAAAUUAGUGAUUUAAUCAAUUCAAUUAAUAUUAUAAAAUUAGAAGAUGACUGAAUUGAUAAAAAAAACAAGUUGAAUCAAAUUAAAAGUUAAUUUAAACAUUUAAUUUUGUUGUUAUAAUUUAUAAAAUAAAUAUUUAUGUCUCUUAUUUACAUUUUCUUUUAUGAAUUUCUUGGAAUUUAAAAAAAAAAUUAUUAGUUGAACCAAAGAUUUCAACCUAUUAAAUUAAAAAUAAAAAAUUUAAUCGAUUCCACCACUAUUUCGAUCUUUACAAAAUUUUAAUAUUUCGUAAUAAUAACUAAUCUACUUACUAAACAAAAUGAAAAAAUUUUGGGGCUCUUACCAUUUUCAUAUAAUUAAUUACAUAUAACAGAAGUUUGCUUCCAAAGCAGCAAUAUAAAUACACAAAUCAAUAUUGUUAUUUUGGCAUCAACAAUCAAGAUUCCCAAAUUGGAAGGUAUGGGCUUUGAUUAAUACUAACAUUUUCUAUACGCUUUUUCUUUUUUGUGUGUUAUUUGUUCCUUUCAGCAUUUUGAGAUGCAUGAACUUUAAGGUGUAGCACAAUUCACUAAUGUGAGACACCCGAAAAAUAAGUAAAAUGUCAUAAAUGACGAUGUCUGCUAGGAUUUGAAAUGGGACAAAUUACUGGUUUCUAGAAAUCUGAUUUCUUCUACUUUUUUCUUUGUCUUUUAGUCGUCUCAAUAGUAUAGCUACGACUUUAAAAUUCAAUGCACAACUAAAUAAUAAUAAUGAUGAAUAAGUUUAUAAAAAUUUAUGGUUUUAAGAAUAAUCUGGGUUUAAAUUAUCAUUUUAGAUAAAUUACGAAUUUAAAUUUUAAUUUUUUUAUAUAUUAAAUCAUACAAUUUAAAUCCAUAUUUUAAUAAAAAAUUUAAUCCCAGUAUAAUAUAAUUUUAUCUAAACCCAAAUUCAAUCAUCAAUCAUGAUGAUAUCUAGCAACUGUAAACUUGUAAUUGCCUAGCAGCAUGUGAACAGGGGAGGGUCGAUGUCAGCCACCCCGCCCAAUAAAUACUCACUCCUUUAAGUAAGAAAUAGUCAAAAUGUUGCUUUAAGAGUCAUGGAAUCACGUCUUCAACUUUGCCAUCCUAUUCUUCCCUUGUCAUAACAACAUUGUUUUGCUAUUGCUUUCAACAUUAUUGUCCUUACAUUACAAAUAAUCAACAAUAUCUACGUUAUAUUAAAACAAUUUAUUGAAUUAGUAUUAUCAACAGUCUAGUUAAUUCCAAUUGUAUCGAUGCUCAUUAUUUCAUUAGAAAAUUACAAUAAUCAACUUUCUAUUUUACAUUAAUGAAAAUUUUUAUUUAAUUUAUUUUAUUCAAUUUUAGUCACUCUCAUCAAAAUAUUGUACAUUAAUUGGUACAUGAAUGCUAUUAGAAAUAUAUAUAUAAAUGUUAAUUUAUUAUUUUCUAGUAAUAAAUAAUGAAAAAAGACAUAAUUUCUUAAAGCUUCAAUAACAUAAUUUUUUUAUGAACUUACAUCUUAUAUGUUUAGUACAGGAUGAUUUUGUCGUGGAUAAUCUUGCUUUUCAUUUUGGAUAUUUGUGUAUUUUAUAUCAUUGAUAAAUAUUUUAUAUUUAAAAUUUAUUUAAUCUCAUUAAUUUAAUAUUUACAAAUACUUUAUAUAUCUAUUAAAUAUUAUAAAAAUUCUAUGACAAACUCAAAAUGGUACAUCAUAGCAUAUUAAUGUCAAUAUGUAUCAUCUUUAAUAAAAAAUAAUACACCCAUGAAUCUGAUAUUGACUACCUCAAUUACAAAACAUCAACUUAAUUAAUAAAAUUACUUCAAAAUUUUAAAAGUUAUCUUUUUUUUAAAUACAUUCAUGCACAUAGUUAUUGUGCCACAAUAUGUUGAUGACUCAAAUUUGUAUUUGUCAUUCUAUAUAUAAAAUGUGAAAAAUUAUGAUGGCAUUCUAUAUAAAAUUAUGCAUACCAAGCAUCAGAUUGAUUUAAACAUACUUAAACAAUUUGGGAUUUACCUUAAUGUCCAGUGAGCUCCUCCAAUUGCAUUUAUAGCUUAGUCCAUCGAUUUAUCAGACAAAUCAACAUGCCAUCACUAUUCAAACAUUUAAUCAUUCAAUCAAGUAGUUAUAAAAGGGCCCAAAAUAAAAAAUUAACAAUCCCUAAUGUUCAAUUUACAACCCAUCAAAAUUACUUAAAAAUUUCUAAGUCUAAUCUAGUCCCUUGGAAUAGUCCCACAUUGCCUUUCUUAUUGGGGUUUAGAAACACGACACAUACACAGGAAGUUUGCCUUGCGAUGGAUCAUUGGAAAGCCCCACUUUUCAACUGUCUUGCAAGCUACUCUUCUGUACAACGACAAUAAAGAGUGUGAGUUUAUUGAAAUUCAGUGAGUUCACAAAACAUGCUACAAGUGAACACAUCAAUCAGGUUAAAAGUUAGUAUGUUAUACAGUUCUCACAAAAAUACAGCUCGCAUGAAUUCUGGCUUGCAUGAUAAUAAAGACAUAAUAACUUGUAAUAAAUUACAAUGUUAUAUUGCUCACAUGAUAAAAUCAAUUCACAUAAUAAAAUCAAUUCACAUAACAUAACAUAACAUAAUCAUAACACAUAACAUUGAUAUAUUGGCAAUUUGUGACUGUUAAACAUAAUCAUAAAACAUAUUCAUUGGAUAAACGGAUUUCCAAUCACACCCAAUGACUCAUAGAGUCCUGCGCUAUCUCCAAUAAUAAUAAAUUUAUUAUUCAAAUUUUACUUACAAUCUAGCAGCGGAAAGGUCAAAUUCAACUUAGUUUUAAUUAAAUAAAAUCAUGAUUUUUUUGAAUAAUUAAUUCUCAAUUCAUGUUUCAAUAUCCUAAAUUCAAAAUAACAACCAAGCAUGCUAAACAAACCCAAAAUCGAAGCCUCAUGCCACAAUAAAAAUAAAAUAAUUGAAAUUUCAAAUAGUAAAUCUAAAAUACAUUUUAAUAAAAAGAUCAAUCCGAGCUAAGUCCUCCGUAUGUUGAGUCCACGUCCUAACCUAGUGGGUUAUCUGUAAAGAUGGAAAUAAGAUGGGGCGUGAGCUUACGAAGCUCAGUGUAAGUUCAAUCACAAAAAAAAAACAGUGCAAACAGUAGACAAAUCGUACAGAAUAUCAACUCAUAGAAUGAUCAUAAUUGAAUAUCAAUUCAGAAUUUUGAAUCAAAUCAUCACCAUAAUAUCUCAAUAUUCACAUCUAUGCAAAUGUUUAUGAAUGCAAUGCAAUUUUAAUUUAUCAGAAAAUGUUCCUACCCCACCGCUACAAACCACAGUAGGAGUUCUUCAAAGCUCCUCUACCUUCACACCAUAUUAUGGAUAAAUCAAUGGUCGUUGCAGAUGAACUGCUAAUGAUAAGAAUAUUGGUGGAUGAAUCAUCCGUUUGUGUAGAUAAAAGUUACUAGUACGUUGUGGAUGAACCACAAGUCAUGUAGAUAAAUUGCCGACUAAAAAUAUUGGUGGAUGAACCCUCCAUGGGUACAGAUAAAAUCUGUUAAUUCGUUGUGAAUGAAACACUAGUCGAGCAAAUGACUACCAAUUAAAAUACGUUGUGGAUAAAACAUUAGUCCAGUAGAUAAAUUGCUGACUAAUACAUGUUGUGGAUAAUCCACUAGUUGAGUAGAUAAACUGUUGACUACUUCCUCAAUUCAAAUCAUCCCACCCCAUGCAAUGCAACAUGACAUGCUAUAACAGAUCAAUAUGGAAACAAUAACAUACUUAUAGCAAAUAUAUAUACAGUAGUAAUUAUUAUGCUUAAAAUAGAUCAUGACAGUAGCAAUAAACUUGCUUAACACGUAUUUUGUUUAAUGGUAGCAGUAGGCAUAUGUUAUGCAAUGUAACAGCUUGUUUUUCAAUGAAAUCGGAACAAUGGUUUCAGGACCACGAAUCCAAUGUUAAAAAAAUUAUUUUUAAUUUUAUUUUUUAGUCUAUAGCAUGUUCGGACUAUGGUAUAAAAAUUUCAUUAAGAAAUUUUAUCGUUUGUAUGCUCAAUUUGUGAAAAAAGGACUAAAUCGCAUAAAGUGCGAAAGUUGUGUUCUAUUAGCUAAAGGUGUUAAAUAUAUAUAUAAUUUUAAAGAAGAGGUCCUUAUUGAGAAAUUAGACCACUAAUUGAGUUAGUGGAUGUACACGGAGUGUAAUCAUGAAAAUUUUUAUUGUUAGAUGGAUAUUAGGUAUUAAUAGAUAAAAUAUUAAACAAAAAGAAGAGAAUAGUUAUUCAUCUUCUUCUCCACAGAAAAUAUCAACAAAGUAGGGGUCUUUGAAGCUCAAAAUUUUAGCCACUUAAUUCUCUUUCAUGUAAGUUACUUUGGUGGUUGUUUUUGUUGAUUUUUAUGUUUUUGGAACCCUUGUAGCUUAAGCUAGUUAAUUGGGGGACUAAAGUGCAAUGUGAUUGAAAGAUUAGGGUUUUUCCAUGAGAGCAUCUUGUUUUUUUUCUUGAAAUUUAAUGGAAGAAAGUGAAUCUUGGUUGUUUAAUAAACAACUUUUGUUAAAGGAAUUUUAAUGAAAUUGUCAAAUAAAGGCUUAAUAGAGAAAUAUGAAAGUCUUGUAUUAAAUGUGUGAAUUUUUGGAAUAUAUGGGUUGAUUAGGUAUACAUAAAAUUCGACUAGGCUUAUAUGUGAAAGAAAUUGCAUGAAUUUCAUUUUACGAGCCUAGGGACUAUAUUGUAAAUAAGUCAAAUAUUUGGGGGCAAAAUGGUAAAUUUUUCCUAAUAUUAAAUUGAGGUGAAUUAAAUUAAAUAAUUAUUAAAUUAGUUAAAUUUGGUUAUAUAGAUCAAGAAAAGCCACGUUCGGAAUUAAAUCAAGGGAAAGAAAAAGUAGUGGAUUGAUCAGUCGACUUACUCUGUAUUAACUUGAGGUAAGUUAAUAUAAAUAAUUUGCAUAUUUAUAUGCUUUGAUUUAAAUAUAUGUAUGAGAUUAGUUUAAUCAUUAUGAAUAAUUAUUGAGCAUGUAACCGACAAUUUAAGACGAAUACCGAGCCCGUUUGAACUUUAGAAAUUCGUAGGAUACCAAUGACAUGUUAUUAGGGUUACUGUUUUGGUUGAGGCCCUACAUUUUUUGUGAACUCACAAUAGCUCGUAUGAGCUUACCGAUAUUCAGCUCAGAAGAGCUUAUCGAUUAUUGCUCGUAAGAGUUUACAUGUAUAAGAAUUGAUGAAUUACAGUUUAGUACACCUCGUGUGUACCACCUGCAUAUCUAAAGAUAUUCUAAGUAGUUCAACGGGCAUAAUUUUAUUUUGAGAUUAUACAAGUUCGAUACGAACAAUUACAGGUAAAUUCGUGGAAGUGGUUGAUAGUGGUUAUAUGUUUAUAUGGUAUGGACAUUACAUGUACAUGAAAUUCAAUUAAUUGAUGAAUUCAUAUAUGAUUAUCGAUUUUAUGCGAAUGUGGAACUAAUGUGACUAUGGAUUGUGUGUUAGGCCAUGGCCAAAUUGAAUUAUGUCGUAUUUUGAGUUUCUUACUUAAUUUGAAGUCAAAUGGUAAGUUUAAUUCCGUAUCGUACGAACUUACUAAGCUUAAUUGCUUAUUCUGUUUAUUUUUCAUGUUUUAUAGUGUUUCAGAAUCUCGCUCGAUUUGGAGGUUGUCGGAGAUUGCGUUACACUAUCAAACUCAUACUUGGUAUUUUGGACUUUUAACAUUUUGGGGUCAAAUGGCAUGUAUAGGUGUUAUGGCUAAGGUAGAAUAUAUGUCUGAUGUUGUCUUCGUUAUGUAAUUAGCCAUGUGAUUUGGCUUAUUUUGGUAUAUUUGGAUAUGUAAAUAAUUGCAAAUGGCCUUAUGAUAUGAUAUGUAUAAUUACUAUGUGGAAUGUGUGGAUAGUACAUGAUAUGAGCUUGAUAUUGGUCGGUUUUAAAUGCCUAUUUAUGCCAUGAUUGCAUGCACAUCGUUGAGUUUAGAUUGGUAUUACUUUGGGUGAGAAAAUUAGCUUGGAAAGUAACUUAUUUUUGUCCACACGAGCAGAGACACGGGCGUGUGUUUCAGCUGUAUGUGACACACUGUUAGGUGACACGGCCGUGUAUCUUCUGAUGCUACAUUAGAAACUAAGUCAGCAGCUUCACACGGCCUAGCACAUGGGUGUGUGGCUUGGCCUUGUUGUAACGCCCCAAAAAUCUAAAUAUUAAUUUUUGUGUGUUGUGAUACAUAAAUACAUGUCUGCUUCAGUGGCUGAGUGUCUUGAGGAGUAUUAGAGAAGUCCUAGGUUCAAGCUUUGGCUUGUAAAAAUUUUAUUUUUGGCUUGAACAAACCCUGUCUCUUGACAGUAGGGUUCUUAAAUAAAAAUGGUUACGAUGUGUCAUAAAAUGCCUGAUGGUCUAGGGGAUAGAGGCAUGUGGAGUGUUUUAGGGGGUCUGAGGUUUGAGGCUUGAUAAUGCAAGAGGAGAAAAAUUUGCUGUUAACACUGGGGAGGUGUUGUUGUUUGACUGAAAUUGAAUGCUUGUGUGGUGGGGGAAGUUGAGGCCGAAUUCUAGGUGUGUGUUGGAGAGAAUUUCGGCUGGUUGAGAUAUGGUUAGGUAGGAUGUGGUUGAGAAAUAUUAGGAGUGAUAUGGGGAGAGAAAUUAGAAGAGUUUGAAGGGAGUGAGGAGGGUGUGCCGAAUGGGGACUCUGCCUCUAUGCAUUUUCAGUUUUGUGUUAUUGACUGAGGGUUGUGUUUUCGGUUCUUUUCUUUCCUAAGUCUAAUAUCACAUUUUAGGGCAUUCUCUUGCUUUUGAGUUUCUAUUUUCUCUCUUUUUGGGGCUGAGCUUUUGCUUUUCCUAUUGGUAGUGUCGAAACCAUUUUUUGAAAAAGGGUCGACUUUUAUUUUGAAAAUGAAAACGUAAAAACGGGAGUCACCGCCAAUCUUUUUUAUUUAGGUGCAAUCGGAUCACCUGGUAAUUCAGUCACUUUAACAAAAAUUUAAAUUUAUUAAAACGAUGAUUUUUUGGUCAAAAAAAUCUAGAAAACAGGGUCGGGAGUCGGUUACGCACGUGGAAGGGUUAGCGCCCUCGAUACUCCCAAAAUUGGUACCUAGUUGAUUAAUUAAUGUCUUGGUGUCGAAAAUUUGAGAACUUUGAAGAUUGUAAAAAUACGAUCCUUUGUUAAAAUAUUAUUUAAUUAAAUUUUUUUGAGAAAAUAAUGUAUUUCACAUUAAUCGAGGAAAAUAAUUAUGUACCGUAAGUUAGGAAACAAUAUCUUGAAUCCCUGAAACGAGGAUAAACACCAAAAAUUAUUUAUUUUGGAAGAUAUUUGAUUAUCUUGGUUUUAGAAAGAGAUCAUAUCCCGUAAGUUAGAACACGAUCUUUUCUUAAUUCUCGAAAUUAUUUUAAAAAAAAACUUAUAUGUUUUAAAAAGGGACUCGUGUUAGGGAACGACUUUUCAAAUCUCGAAAGACGGAAUAUCGCUUAUAAUAAUUUUUUAAACACAAUUUUGUGUAUCGAGUGAAGGUUAAUCCGAUAUGAUUUUGUAGUAAAAUGGAAAAUGAAUCACGGUGUUGGUAUGUGCAAAAUAAUAUAAAUGCAGUGACGAUAAUGGAAGGGGCAGGAACAAAUGGUAUAAAUAGAUGGAUUACAAAUAAAAUAAAAUUUAAAAAAAAGCUAAAAUUGUGGUAAAUAGGUACGUGAAUGAAUGGUGCGUAAAUCGAUUAGAUAAUAUGAUCGAUAAUAAAAUAAAAAUAAAUAAAAAAGAAGAAAUAAAUAAAUGAAUAACAACAAUAACAUUAAUAAAAUAGCAAAUAAUUCAAAGUUCAAAAUCAUAAAAAGAUAUAGGUAAAUUAAUAAUGCGAGUAUAUAAUAAAAUAUAUUUCAAAGUUUAAGUAAAUAAAAAUAGAAACAUAAUGAUAAUACCAUAAAUAAAAAAAUAGUAAAUAAUAAUAUAUUAAUAAGAAUUAUAAUAAUAUAUAUUAAUAAUAACAAAUAAUAAAAAAUAACAAUGGGUUAAUAAAGAUAAUAGUAAUAAUAGAGGUAAAAUAAAUAAAUAUAAUAAGAGUAAUAGUGAUAAUAAUACAAAAUAUAAUAAUAACAAAUAAAUAAGUAUAGAAAGGAAAUGUAAUUUUAAUGGUAAUAAUAAGGAAAAUAAUAACAAUAAUACAAUAAUAAUAAAGUAGUAAUAAAAAUAAAAAUAACAAUAAUAGUAAAAAUAUAAUAAAUAAUAGUAAAAGAAAAUAAAAAAAUUACUAAUUUAAUAAUAAAGUAGCUAAAUAACUAAACAUGGGACUAAAUUGAAUUUAAAAUAAAAAUUCGGGGUAAAUUCGAAACAAAUAUUGAAGGAAAUGGACCACAUUGAAUGCGCGAAUAAUAAGGGGGACUAACGGGAAAAAUAUCCCCAUCCUCCAAAACACAACACUUCACGUGGGACCAAAAUGAAAUCGAAACAAAAUUUCAGGGUAAAUUUAGAAACAACGAAAGAUUUAAUUGCAAACUAUAAAAAAGUGGAAGGACUUGCAGCGCAAUUACCCCCAAAAGUAAAAACACGCGGAUCCCCUUGGUUGGUCGGGUUAACACGUUGAUCAUGACACCAAUACAACGUUGUUUUGGUAUUAAGAAGGCCGGCCAAAAUGGCGUCAUUUCGAUCGGCUAUUUAAGUCAAAUUUUUUUAAAAAAAAUUCAUUUUUUUCUCCAUUUCUACCAAAAAAACGCAAAAAUUUUCUUUUGUUCUCUCUACAGGGCGCCGGCCGCCGGCCGCCGUGAAACUCCAAAAAAUGUAUAUAUAUUUUUAUUUUUUAUAUUUAUAUAUAAAUGAUUUUUAAAGAAAAAUAAAGAAAAUAUCAAUUUUUGCAUGUAAGUAGAUUCGAGAAGAAAAAUAAAAAAAUAAAAAAAGAAAGAAAAAGAAAAAAAAUAAAUAACAAUAACCUUUGCCCUUUUAUAACUUGGUUUUUUUUUCUCCAAGUCUGUUUUGUGGAUUUGCUAUUCGUGUUUUUAAAUCUCUUUUGUUUUUGUAUUUGAUGUCUCCCUAAAAAAAUACAAAGAUUAAAAGGCUUUAUAUAGCCAUUUACAAAGUAUUUUUUGUUUACCUACUUGUCAUUUCUUCUUUAAUUCUUGUAGGUGCAAGUGACGAGGGCGGUGGUGACACGACAGUGGCAGUGGCGGCAGAGGUCAGAAGACCUAGGUGCAGCGCACCUAGGGUUUGUUGUUUUUUGUUUCUACUGAUUAAUGUGGGCUGGCGAAGGUUGGGUUAAUAUUGGGCUGUCUGAUUUUGGUUUAAUUGGGUGGAUAGGUUUUGGGUUAGGUUUAGUUUAGGCUUUGGGUUUUGUAAUUGGGUUGUGUUUGUAUUGGGUAUUACGGUAGUUGGGCCUAGGUAGAAUUGGCCCAGAACAGCUGCCCCUCUUUGCUUAUUGUCGUGUAACGGGAAUGGAGCAAAGACUUUACAAGGGUCAAUUUUGCUCGGUCUCACCGAGUCUUGACCUUUUUUGGUGCUUCUCUUUUUAAGUAGCUUCAUUUCAGUCCAUUGCAUUUUGUUGCUUUGAUCCACUCCACCGCCACUUUAGAGAGAUACGACUUGUAGCUUCAAUCUACUCUGCUGCAAAUUUAAGGAUGUGAGAUUUGUGGUUUUUGGUUUAAUCUGACCUACUGCAACUUCAGAGGUAUAGGACUUGUCGCUUUAAUCCGCUCCACUGAAACUUCAUAGAGAUAGGAUUAGUAGCUUCAAUCUGCUCCGUUGCAACUUCAAGGAAAUAAGAUUGGUAUCUUCAGUCUGCUCCACUGCAACUUCAGGGAGAUAAGACUUGUAAUUUCAACAUGCUCUACUGCUACUUCAGAGAGAUAAGGUUUGCUAUCUUCGAUCUACUCCAUUGCAACUUCAGGUAGAUAAGAUCUAUUGUCUUCAGUCUGCUCCACUGCAACUUCAGGGAGAUAAGACUAGUGACUUCAAGCUGCUCCACUGCAACUUUAGGGAGAUAAGGUUUGUUUUGAUCUGCUCUAUGCAACUUCAGAGAGAUAAGAUCUGUAAUUUAUAGCUUUAAUCUGUUCCACUGCAACUUCAGGGGAAUAAGAUUCGCUAUCUUCAAUCUGCUCCACUGCAACUUCAGGGAGAUAAGACUUAUAACUUUAACCUGCUCCACUGCAACUUCAAGGAGAUAAGGUUUGCUAUGAUCUGUUCUACUGCAACUUCAGAUAGAUAAGAUCUAUAAUUUAUAGCUUCAAUCUGUUCCACUGCAACUUUAAGGAAAUGAGAUUCGCUAUCUUUAGUCUGCUCCACUGUAACUUCAAGGAGAUAAGACUUUAUCUUCAACCUGCUCCACUGCUACUUUAGAGAGAUAAGGUUUAGUGGCUUCAAUCUGCUCCAUUGCAACUUCAGGAAGAUAAGAUUCGUCAUUAUAACUUCAAUCCGUCUCAGUGCAACUUCAGGGGUAUGGGAUUUGUGGAUUCAUCGAUCUUGUUACAUCGUCCUCUGGGGAACAUGACCUGUAGAAUAGAUUUCAUGGGCCUAUGUUUAUGCCAAAUGAUUAGGAUGUCAUUAUCAGAAUGAAUCAAAUGCUCCUAACUAGAUGUGUAUGAAUGAUAUUUGUAUGAAUGCAAAAUGUCAUAAGAAUGAUCCCUUCUUAAUGUUUGGGUUGUCAUUACUUAUUGUUCAUCACUCCUAACUAGAUGUGUAUGAAUGAUAUUUGUAUGAAUGUAAAAUGUCAUGAGAAUGAUCCCUUCUUAAUGUUUGGGUUGUCAUUACUUAUUUUUCAUCACUCCUAACUAGAUGUGUAUGAAUGUUAUUUGUAUGAAUGCAAAAUGUCAUGAAAAUGAUCCCUUCUUAAUGUUUGGGUUGUCAUUACUUAUUGUUCAUCAAGGUUGUAUCAUUGACACAAUGUUCUGUCUUCUUGUUCAGCUGAUAUCUUUGAUAGAAAAUCUGAAGAAAUAGUCACACUUUAGACUCUUCUUUCUCAAAUAUUUCCAACCCUUAGGCUUGGUGAGUUUUAAAUAAUAGUCAUGUUUCAGGUUCCUGUACUAUUUAGAAGCUUCCAGAGUAAUAUGUAGAACUCCUUUUGUGAAAGUAUUAUUAGUCCAUUAAUUGUUAUUUCAAUGCAAAAUGCUUGAAAAGAUCAUAAUUAUGGACAAAAAAGAAAUUGAUUGGGAUCAUAGCUCGAAAUGAAUAAAUUAAUCAAAGAUAGCAAAUGCAAUAAGAAGGAAAUUGAUUGGGAGCAUAGCUCAAAAUGAAUACAGUAAUCAAGGAUAGCAAAUUCAAUAUGGGUAAGAUGAAAACUAGGUGCCCCAGAUAUCGUAGCCUGAGCUUCUCUGUACGAACUUCUUGAGGACCAUUUUGAGUUCGACAUGUGUUUAGGAGAUCGAUGCCCUAAGAUGUAGCAUGUCUCCUCCUUGUUAAUUCAGGUAUAGCAAGACUACCGCAUGCCCCACUUUUUAUUUGAAUUGCCCUUUACCGGUUUUCAAUUUAAAACCCUUUUGGUCUUAAAAUGCCCUUUGUAGGUCCCUUGGCCUCUCCUUUUUAUUGUCUUUUUUUUUUCUUCUUCUUCUUUUUUUUUGGAAAACUUUUUGACUGAAUCUGAAUUUAUCGGAUUAGGCAGGUUCUUGCCAUCCAUCUCGAUUAAAAUCAACGCUUUUCCAAAGAAGGCCUUCUUUACUACAUAAGGUCCUUCCCAGUUUGGCAUCCACUUUCCUCUAAAGCCCUUUUGUAUAGAAAGGAUCUUCUUCAACACCAGGUCCCCCUCGUGGAAUUCUCUAAGACAAACCUUUUUGUUGUAAGCUCGCAUCAAUCGUUUUUUGAUACAUUUGACCAUGAUGGUAUCUUCAAACUCGACUUCAAUGGGCAAAACUGCUUCCAUUCCAUAAACCAAUGAGAAAGAUAUUUCCCCGGCGAAGGUCUUGAAUGACGUUCGAUAAGCAUAGAGGGUAAGUGGUGAUUGCUUAUGUCAAUAUUUACAAGUCUCGGUCAUUUUCCCCACGAUCUUUUUUUGUUUUAUUUUUUUUACUACCUCUGCUGCACCAUUCAUUUUGGGGUGAUAUGGUAUCUAAUCUUAAACAGAUUGCAACCUUUUGAUAUCAUGCUAUUAUACAUUAUUAGAUAUGAUCUUUUUUUUUUUGGAAUUUGAUGACUGUCGACUUUGUGACAUUGGCAUAUGAAGCGACUUUCACCCACUUAAUGAAGAAUUCAACGUCCAUAAAGAUGAUGAUAUCUGCUAAGAGCUUGUGACGAGAUUAACCCAAUAACAUCCAUGCCCCACAUAGAGAAAGUCUAUAAAGAAAUGAAGGGGACACAUGAAUUUUGUCUCCAUAAAUUUGGCAUUUACGGCAUAACUGAUGCGAUCCCCUUCCACAGUGGACCAGCAGUACCCGAACCUUAUGAUUUGCCUGGCCAUUGUAAAACCAUUAGCAUGUGUUCUUCAGACACCCUUAUGGACCUCUUCUAAGGUUUUCUUAGCCUUAACAGCAUUCACACAUCUUAGUAGCCCAGGCGUAUCUUGAUACGAUCGUGCGAAAACAUCUUUGAAUUCUUGGAAUAACUCAAUGACGUCUCGCUUUAUCUCUAUGGUGAUAUAGGCUUCGAUCUUCACCUCUUUCUUUUUCUUUAGGCUCGCGUUGUCCAUUAACCCUUUGUAAGGUAGGAUCUAUUUUUCAUCUUGUUCUACUAUCCUUAACAAACCAGGAGAUAGGCUACAAUCUCUACCAUCUUCAAAGUCUUAGGAUUCCUCUAUACACAUAUCUUGCUCAAAAGGAAACUCUAGGUCAGUAGUAGUGUCGCUUAUGUCGUUGAUAUCUGGAGACCUAUUGUAGGUAUGAAGGAAUAUUCCAAAAAAAAAUAAUCUAAGAAUAGUUAUUUAUGGUAUGAUCAUGAAUAAAAGAAUAUUUGAAAGAGAGUCCAAAAGACAAAAGAAUCUAAGAAUAAUUAUUUGUAUAGUAUGAUUAUGAAUAAAAUGGAACAAAUGAAAGAAUAUUAGCUCAAAAUGAUAGCAAAGAUGCAUUUUAUUGAAAUAAAGAUUUUGAACAUAAGCCUAUUUCACAAAAGAAUUCUCAUCACUCCUAAGUUUAGAGCAAUAAAUGUGUUUUGAACAUUAUUCUGAGUUAUCUCUAAAAAUACAAAGAUCUUUCCCAUAGCCCCGUUAUUCAGAACACUUCCAAAUAUGUCUGAUAAAUUGUCUUUUCCAGAUGCCUCUUCCAAUACUGUAUUCAGAUUCCCCAGCAUUCCUUCUGGGCCUUUGACUUCUUCAAAGAAUUUCAACUUUUUAUUAUUCGUUACACUCCGCACUAAAACUUUGAAUUCAGCGCACUACUGGAUUUCGUGACCACCUUCAGCAUGGAACUCACAGUAACUCUCGAUCCCUUUGGCUAUCUUCCCCGAAUUCUCAUAUCUAUCAUUUAUUUCAAAACCUAUUUCAGUGUGGGUUUCUACCUCUUCCUCCACUCUCAAUUAUCAGAUUUACCCAUUGGGUCUGGAUGAUCGGGUAACGGAUUUCCUACCACAUUAGGUCCUGAUGGAUCAUCAAACUUCAUGAUGCCCAUCUUGAUGAACCUUUCGAUUAACUUAUUAAAUGUGGUGCGUUCUCAAUUGAGUGCCCCGUUAUUCUUGCAUGGUACUCGCAUUGAGCAUUCGCAUCAUACCAUUUUGGGAACAGAGGUUGUAUGGGUUUCGAGUAGAAAGGGAUACCACAUGUGCAUCAAACAGAUUUCGAUCCAGCUCUUUAUAUGACAUUGGGAUGAGUGUAAACUGGAGUCUUUUUCUGUUCGCCUCGAGUUGGAUUCUUACUUGAAGGGGCCUUGAUAGCUAGUAGUUACGACCAUCGGCUGGCCUACAGUGAUCGGUUUGGAAUACCAUUUGCUCAUAUUAUUCAGUUCAUUUUCAUUUUUCUUUGGGGUUGACCUCUUGGCGCUUUGUCUCGCGUCUAUCUUCUCGUUCCUGAUUGCGUUUUCAAUCAUCUCGCUAGAUAUUACUACAUCUGAGAAGCUCAUGAUAACGCUUCCCAACAUAUAGGUAAUGAACGAGGCUUUUAGAGUGUUGACGAAAAGUAUCGUAGUUUCUUUCUC